This 253-nucleotide ribosomal RNA is filed under the name uncultured bacterium. Its description in RNAcentral is "partial 16S ribosomal RNA". It matches the Rfam family "Bacterial small subunit ribosomal RNA", at positions 524 to 776 of the family's 1533-position model. The record is from RNAcentral.
UACGAAGGUGGCGAGCGUUAAUCGGAAUUACUGGGCGUAAAGCGCGCGUAGGCGGCUUUUCAAGUCGAUUGUGAAAUCCCCGGGCUUAACCUGGGAACUGCAGUCGAGACUGUCUAGCUAGAGUAUGGGAGAGGGAAGUGGAAUUUCAGGUGUAGCGGUGAAAUGCGUAGAUAUCUGAAGGAACAUCAGUGGCGAAAGCGACUUCCUGGACCAAUACUGACGCUCAUGUGCGAAAGCGUGGGGAGCAAACAGG